Molecule: ribosomal RNA, 508 nt
Filed under: uncultured bacterium
Lineage: Bacteria
Description: partial 16S ribosomal RNA
Rfam family: Bacterial small subunit ribosomal RNA
Source: RNAcentral
GACGAACGCUGGCGGCGUGCCUAAUACAUGCAAGUCGAACGCUUGUGCCCUCCCGAGUUCUUGCACUCGAUUGGCAAGCGGGGGGGUGGUCGGGAGACAAACUAGUCACGAACCUAGCCAUAAGCGCGGGAUAACACGUGGAAACAGGGGCUAAUACCGCAUAACAGUUUAUGCCGCAUGGCAUAAGAGUGAAAGGGGCUGACGGGCGUAGCUGCUGGUUGGACGCUCGGUGGAUUACGUAGUUGGCGAGGUAACGGCCCACCAAGGCCACGAUGCAUAGCCGACCUGAGAGGAUGAUCGGCCACACUGGAACUGAGACACGGCCCAGACUCCUACGGGAGGCAGCAGUGGGGAAUCUUCGGCAAUGGACGAAAGUCUGACCGAGCCACGCCGCGUGAGUGAAGAAGGUUUUCGGAUCGUAAAGCUCUGUUGUUAGGGAAGAACAAGAACGUUAGUAAAUGAACGUCCCCUGACGGUACCUAACCAGAAAGCCACGGCUAACUACGUG